Equus caballus (horse) is the source of this 2126-nucleotide non-coding RNA. NCBI's taxonomy places the organism in Eukaryota, Metazoa, Chordata, Mammalia, Perissodactyla, Equidae. The record is from RefSeq and is a predicted model, not a curated record.
CAGCAGAGGGGAAGCACGCAGUUGCCUGGCACAUGGGGGCAAAGGAAAGUUAUGUGAUAGGUGAGGGGAAUCUGAAAUACGAGGAACACUUUUUUUUGUUUUUAAAGGGCCUUUUACCUCUACAAUCCUCAAAUAGAAACACAGACAACAACCCAAUUGUUGACAGAGCUGGGAUGCCAGGAAUAGGGCCCAGGGCUCCAGGAGAGAUGUGGGAUGAUGAGAGGAGGGAGAAGUUAGGGGGCAGAGAGUCACAAGGGCUCCAAGACCAUCUGGACCUAGCAGAAUAGAGUUGUGCUUAUUUUACACAAGUGACUCUGAGCCUUCUCUGCUGGCAUCCUGUCACCUCAUGUACGUGGUAUUUCCUUGUUCCUUAUCCAGACGAGAAAGGAGGAAGGUGGCGGCCUGUGUGUAACUGCUCUCAGCUCGGUGAAAAGCAGAUGUGAGUUUUUACCUCUCCCACAGAGGACAGUGGGCGUGGGAACCCAGCAGGCAGCCUGACAGCCAGGCAGACACCUGCUUCCACAACAAACUGCAGGUCUCUUUCAAGGUAUCGGAAACAAAGCCAUCUAUUUCACUGGUGGGAAAACAGACUGAAAACUAAUAGUUUCACUACAAAUAGGUGCAUCCCGUAAUGGAAUACUAUGCAGCUGUAAACAAGAAUGAAGAAGCUUUCUUUGUACCAAUAGAAAAAGAGUUCUAAGGCUUGACCUUAGGUCUUGGCAGCUCUUCUUAGUUGGAGGACAUCCCUGACGAGGAGGAAGUGAGCCUUUUCCUCCCCCCAGGCAGAGACAGGACCCUCCUCUGCCUUCCUCGCAUUCUUCAGCUGUCUCGGUCAUGCUGGAACUGGCACUACCUACUCUGGCAGGCAAGGGGAGGAGGCAGCCACGGGUUCUGGCACUGUCCCCAAGGUGAGCUGUCUGUGACUGCGGGUAUCACGGAGAAAGCGUUGAAGAGCUGGCAAAACCAACCCCUUGCUUUCUUUGCAGGAUGAUGAAGAUGCUAAUACUGGGGCAGUGGAAAGCAAACUCUGAAGGUUUUGAUUCAAAGACUAUGCUCAGAGGACAAUGCUAUUAAUGAUCCUUGGCCGAGUCCAAGUUUGUUAAUAUUCCGGAUACCUUAGAAUAGUUCAGCAGCACAUAUCUAAUUUGAAGUAAUUUAUUCUGUUAAUAUUUUGGUUUUCUGCUGCCAGGAACUCUGGGCAUAUGGCAUUCCCCUAGGACAUGAAGAAGGAAACCAUUAUGGGUGAUAAUAAGGAACGUGCAUUCAUUGAUAUGUUUAGCAUCUUGACUUGAAGAUGAAAUUCUGAGCCACGACUCCCAGUGGCUCCCCAGCUGUGCACAGGUUAAAGGACAUUUCACUGUGACUGCUGUGUUUAUUCCAGUAACGUGAUGACUCUGAGGGCCACUCUGAGCCUUGGCUUUGUGACGGAGAUAAGAAUCCCCUGGGAUGCUUGCUAAAAAUACAGAUUCCUGGACUCCACCUGAGGCCUGGAAAUCUGCUUCGUGACAACUGCCUCAGAUAAUUCUUAUCUGGCAAGUUUGGGAAACAUUACAUUUUAGAAUCUUGAGAGGAAAGUGAUUUUUACUGAAUCCUCCUGUCUUUAGGCUGACCUCUUCCACCAGGAAUGAUAAACGUCUGUUCCCAGAAAGAAAGGAGCAAGCAUUCUCCACACCUGGGAUGUCGUCAUGUAUUAAACCUCUGACAGAACCUUCAUGGCCUUCAUUUGGCUUUGCUGGUGACUCAUAAUAUUCCACUUUUAGGAUGAAGGAAGUUAAAUACUUGCUAUUCCUUCACAGAAGUUUCUAUUUUAAAUGCAGAGCUCAGAAAUCUGUGGACAGCCAGAUGUAACGUUCAGGGUUGUAAUGGACAGAGGCAUCUCUUAACAGCUACAUAAUUCAAUUACCCUUGCAACUUCACAAUUCGCCACAUCCUGGUUCCCCUAUCAGACACAUACGGGCCUCUAAAGGGGACAGACUAGGUCACAAGAAGAGUAUGUUGAUGUGGCAUCUCCAGUGGGCACAAGGAAAUGCCCCUCCUAUAAAAGAACAUACUUUUGAGCCUGGUGGUGUAGUGGUUAAAUUCACACGCUCCACCUCGGCAGCCUGUAGUUCACAGGUUCAGAUCCC